Molecule: long non-coding RNA, 2830 nt
Filed under: Triticum aestivum (bread wheat)
Lineage: Eukaryota; Viridiplantae; Streptophyta; Magnoliopsida; Poales; Poaceae
Description: long non-coding RNA (TAES_LNC005362)
Source: RNAcentral
UAGCUUUCUCCACCUACCUACGUCUUCAGGGCUAUACUAUAUAUUCCGUACUCCAUCUCAGAUCUAGGGUUAGCAAAGUUUAGACCAAAUUCUUGAGAGAGCUUUGCUCAUCUACCUCUCCUUUGGUAAUCAACACCUCCAGUUUGGGGAAGAAUCCUCUUGGAUUAUCAAGACCCCAUCUCUCCUAGAGAUUUGGGAAGAUUAUCUCUCAAGACCUCCAAUUCCUCUUGGAUUUGGGGAUGAACUAUCCUUGUUACCUUCUUUUCCUCUCCUUUGGUGAUCAGCACCUCCAAUUCCUCAGAUCUUGAGGUGUAUUUCUCUUUGGAAUGAGAUUUGAGUACUUUGGUGGUGAAUCUUGUCUAUGUGAGUGUUUUCUCUAUGUUUCCCCCGUUGUUCAUCGUGUUUCACCUCAAAUCGUGAAGAUCAGGCCACCAAACAGCUUCCCCAUAUCACUUGGUAUCAUGUGCAGGUUGCCACAAUUUGGAGUCCCUCUCCCUCAUAUUUCUAGACAAAUUUUGUUUUUGUUCUUCCCAGUUUCAAAAAUCCCCACAAAAAUAGUCACCCGAUUUCAAGCGAUUUGUUGUUUCUGGUGAGUUUUGGUUAGAUUUGAUCCACGGAUCUGGUGAUAUGUGAGUUGAUCUGCCUUUGAUUUUCUUUAACUACCUCCAAUUUCGAGUUCUUCCUCAAGUUGACCCACACCAGCCUAGGCGAAGUUGGUCUAUCCAACUUAGUCCAGAAUAUCGGACUAUCCGACCUUGGUCUGACUUGACUACAACUUCAGCAACUUUGCCAGCAAGUUGGGCAUCUUGCUGGCUUCGACGUCCGGCUUCUUCAACAAGAAUGCCAAGUACAUCUAGGGCCAGUUCGUUUGGCGGCUUAAAAAAUAAGCCGCCUCCUCCCCAGCUUUUCCCAUAAGCCGUCUCCCUCAUUCAUUUGUGCUUCUGAACUAGUUAUGGUAUAAUUAAUUUAGAAGUCACAGCAAAUUUAGGGAGCGGCUUAUUUUUUAAGCUGGGGAGAGACAGCUUAUUUUUUAAGCCGCCCAAAAGAACUUAGCCCCUACACAGCCUCCAUCAACAACCAAGCUCGGCUACGAUGAUGAUAUGUCAUCCUUUUAACACAAACACCAAAAGCAAGGCGGGUGCCCUCCGAUUUUGUCAAGGUAGAGGUGUCAACGAGGUAUGUCAUUCCGUCACACAACUUUGUCUUCCUUGCCACUACCCUUGUGAGCCAUCCAUUUGUGAAUAUCAAUCAUGGGCACUCAACGUGGACAAAAUGCUCCGUGUCCACAACUUUGACAAGGUGAAGAAAAUGGCAAUGGCCUCGCUCGAGUUUGAUGAGUACGUCCACAUACGGUGGGAACAACUCACAGAACAUUGACAAGAGCAAGGAGAGGUCCCCAUUGAAGCAAGUCAUGAGAGCGAGAUUUGUGCACAUGCACCAUACCCGCAACCUCUUCAAGAAGCUCCAAGUACUCAAGCAAGGCACCAAGACCGUCGAAGAGUACUACAAGGAGAUGGAAAUCGCAAUUCUCUGAGCCAAUGUGAAGGAAUCCGAUUUGCAAACAAUGGCUCGCUUCCUCAAUGGACUCAACCACCUAAUCAAGCGGAUUGCGGAUUUCCAACCAUACAACUACUUGCUAGAGUUGGUUCGCCAAACAACAAAAACGGAGCAACAAGUGCAAGAAGAUGUAAGUACUGCAAGUACUCCUACACUUCACGGAACUUCAACACCAACACUCAAGCUUCACCAAGCACGACGCCUUAUACUUAGACAACAGACACUAGUGGUGCCCCAUCAAGCUCCAAAGUACCGGCGACCUCUCCAAGUCGUCCUCCUUUCAAGCGCUCCCAAGCCUAGAAUUACUCCUGCAAAUCCUUCAAGGGUCUCGACCAAAAAUCCAAGCAAUGAAUGCUUGACUUACAAGGGGCACAGCCACAAGUCAAUUUAGCGCCACACCAAGCGGACCAUGAUCAUCAAUGAAGAUGGAGAGUGAAUAUUAUAUUGAAGAAGAAUUGGAAGCUACACCGACAAGUCAACAAAGACGAAGAUGAUCAAGUCUUCUGCAACAACGACUAAAGCCCCGCCCUUGUUGUCUCCAAGAUCUUGACCUUCAACAACAAAAUGAUGAUGACCAAAGAUGUCAUAUCUUCCACACUAAGCAGGCAUCCAAGGAAAGUCUAUCAGGGUCAUCAUUGAUGGUGGUAAUUGCCACCAUUUGGCAAGUGAGGAACUUCACGCCAAGUUACAUCUCACAAAGAAGCGACAUCCUCAUCCAUACAAAGUGCAAUGGCUAAGUGAUUCCAGCACUAUCAAGGUUGAGCAUACUAUUGAAGUCCCAUUCAAGAUUGGAGCAUACGAGGAUACCUUGGGAUGCGAUGCGGUCGCUACGACCGUUUGCCAUCUCUUAUUGGGACGCCCUUGGCAGUAUGACCGCAGUGUCAUUCACAAUGGGCGCACCAAUCACUAUAGCUUCAAGUGGAAGGGCAAGGAAUGUGCUUCGGCCGAUGACUGCGAGUCAAAUCAUCGUCAAUAAAUCUCAAGCUUCAACCUUUGCAUGCUAUAUGGGAAUCUAGUAAUGGAGUGACCCGCCAUAAAGUGAGUGAGCGUCACAAGCCAAAAAUGAGUGCUUCCAUGUUGAACGCCAACAAGGACAUUAACCUCUUGACCACCAAAAAAGGAAUGUGAGGCAGAGCCCAUCACACGUGCUUUACUUUGUAUUCUUGUACAAAAAUGAAGUCAUGUUGACUAACGAUUCACCCACGCUUCCUUUUGUGAUGACUUGCGUUUUGUAGGAAUUUGAGGAUGUUUUCCCACCGGGCAUACCUCCACU